This 1235-nucleotide ribosomal RNA is filed under the name metagenome. Its description in RNAcentral is "bacterial LSU rRNA". It matches the Rfam family "Bacterial large subunit ribosomal RNA", at positions 1564 to 2808 of the family's 2925-position model. The record is from RNAcentral.
UGAAUACGAGAUGCUACGGCGUCGAAGCAGUCUAUGUCAUACUUCCAAGAAAAGCUUGCACUGUCAUAAACAAAUAAUGCCUGUACCAUAACCGACCCAGGUGGGUAGGUAGAGUAUACUAAGGGGCGCGAGAUAACUCUCUCUAAGGAACUCGGCAAAAUGACUCCGUAACUUCGGGAGAAGGAGUGCCUUAUUUAUAAGGUUGCAAUAACAAGAUCCAAGCAACUGUUUACCAAAAACACAGGUCUCCGCUAAGUCGUAAGACGAUGUAUGGGAGCUGACGCCUGCCCAGUGCCAGAAGGUUAAAGAAGUUGGUUAGCAUCCGCGAAGCUGAUAACUGAAGCCCUGGUGAACGGCGGCCGUAACGAUAACGGUCCUAAGGUAGCGAAAUUCCUUGUCGGGUAAGUUCCGACCCGCACGAAAGGCGUAAUGAUUUGGAUACUGUCUCGGAGAGGGGCUCGGUGAAAUAGACUUGUCUGUGAAGAUGCGGACUACCUGCACCAGGACAGAAAGACCCUAUGAAGCUUUACUGUAACCUGAAAUUGAAAUUGGACUUUACUUGCGCAGUAUAGGUGGGAGGCGUUGAGAAUAUUCUUGCGGGAUUAUUGGAGCCAUCAGUGAGAUACCACUCUUGUAAUGUUAGAUUUCUAACUUUGUAUCAUUAUCUGGUCAAAGAACAGUUUCAGGCGGGCAGUUUGACUGGGGCGGUCGCCUCCUAAACGGUAACGGAGGCGCACAAAGGUUUCCUCUGAACGGGUAGAAAUCGUAUCUAGAGUGUAAAGGCAUAAGGAAGCUUGACUGUGAGACCUACAAGUCGAGCAGGGACGAAAGUCGGUCUUAGUGAUCUGACGGUGCUGAGUGGAAAGGCCGUCACUCAACGGAUAAAAGUUACUCUAAGGAUAACAGGCUGAUCUCCCCCAAGAGUUCACAUCGACGGGGAGGUUUGGCGCCUCGACGUCGGCUCAUCGCAUCCUGGGGCGGUAGUACGUCCCAAGGGUUGGGCUGUUCGCCCAUGAAAGCGGUACGCGAGCUGGGUUCAGAACGUCGUGAGACAGUUCGGUCCAUAUCCGGUGUAGGCGUUAGAAUAUUGAGAGGAGCCUUCUUUAGUACGAGAGGACCGAGAAGGACAUACCUCUGGUGUACCAGUUAUCGUGCCAACGGUAAACGCUGGGUAGCUAUGUGUGGAGUGGAUAACCGCUGAAAGCAUCUAAGUGGGAAGCCCACCUCAAGAUAAG